Molecule: ribosomal RNA, 254 nt
Filed under: uncultured bacterium
Lineage: Bacteria
Description: partial 16S ribosomal RNA
Rfam family: Bacterial small subunit ribosomal RNA
Source: RNAcentral
GACGAAGGUCCCAAGCGUUACCCGGAUUUACUGGGCGUAAAGGGCGAGAAGGCGGUGAGACAAGUUCUUCCUAAAAGCCUCUUGGCCUAACCAAGAGGAAGGGAAGAAUACUGUUUCACUAGAGACUCUCAGGGGCCAGCGGAACGGUCGGUGUAGGGGUGAAAUCCGACGAUAUCGACCGGAACGCCGAAGGCGAAGGCAGCUGGCUAGGAGAGUUCUGACGGUGAGGAACGAAAGCUAGGGGAGCGAUCGGG